Molecule: ribosomal RNA, 380 nt
Filed under: uncultured archaeon
Lineage: Archaea
Description: bacterial SSU rRNA
Rfam family: Archaeal small subunit ribosomal RNA
Source: RNAcentral
AAUCUUCGCAAUGCGCGAAAGCGCGACGAGGUUAUUCCGAGUGCAAUCUGCUGAAGAUAGCUUUUGUCAGGUGUAAAUAGCCUGAAGAAUAAGGGGAGGGAAAGCCUGGUGUCAGCCGCCGCGGUAAAACCAGCUCCUCGAGUGGUCGGGAUGUUUAUUGGGCCUAAAGCAUCCGUAGCCGGUUCCGAAGGUCUCCUGUUAAAUCCAACGGCUCAACCGUUGGGCUGCGGGAGAUACCACGGGACUAGGAGGCGGGAGAGGCAGACGGUAUUCCGUGGGUAGGGGUAAAAUCCGCUGAUCCACGGAGGACCACCAGUGGCGAAGGCGGUCUGCCAGAACGCGCUCGACGGUGAGGGAUGAAAGCUGGGGGAGCGAACCGG